CAGGUCAGCCGGAUGGACGCGGGCGCAUGGCGCCCGAGGAAAGUCCGCACACCACAGGGCAGCAUGCCGGGUAACGCCCGGAAGCACGUAAGUGUUUGGAACAGGGCCACAGAGAGCAUACCGCUCACUUAAGGUGAGCAAGGGUGAAAGGGUGGUGUAAGAGACCACCGGCGGGGUCAGCAAUGUCCUCGGCCAGGCAACCCCCAUGCGGUGCAAGGUCAAGCAGGAGAGAAGCCCGUUUCGGGCGGGAGCAGCCCGACUCCCAAGCAUCUCCGGGUAGAUCGCACGAGCUGACGGGUGACCGUCAGCCCAGAUAGAUGUCCAUCCAGGCGGGUUUCCCGCCGGACAGAAUGCGGCUUACAGGCUGGCCUGGUCU
This 376-nucleotide RNase P RNA is filed under the name Chloroflexota bacterium. Its description in RNAcentral is "Chloroflexi bacterium (anaerobic digester metagenome) RNase P RNA component class A". It matches the Rfam family "Bacterial RNase P class A". Rfam says of the family: Ribonuclease P (RNase P) is a ubiquitous endoribonuclease, found in archaea, bacteria and eukarya as well as chloroplasts and mitochondria. Its best characterised activity is the generation of mature 5'-ends of tRNAs by cleaving the 5'-leader elements of precursor-tRNAs. Cellular RNase Ps are ribonucleoproteins. The record is from RNAcentral. Lineage: Bacteria; Bacillati; Chloroflexota.